Molecule: long non-coding RNA, 906 nt
Filed under: Vitis vinifera (wine grape)
Lineage: Eukaryota; Viridiplantae; Streptophyta; Magnoliopsida; Vitales; Vitaceae
Description: long non-coding RNA (VVIN_LNC001720)
Source: RNAcentral
ACUAAUUAGGAAUUUGGGACACUUCCUAACAAUCUCCACCUUGGACCAAAUUACAUGAAGUUAAUCUUCAAUCUCUCCAUGACACAAACCUUUUUGUAUCAUAUCACCAUGAAAGAGCAAUCGACUCCACCUUCAGUGAAAAUUCCUUUUGUUUUCAUCUUGUGUGCUUUGUGAUCUUUUACUCUUCCAGAAAUCUUCAACCCAAGCUUUGAUACCAAUUGUUGUGCCAGUAAAAGCUUUGAUGCCAACAAUGUUAGUUCAAGAACACAAAGAUAAAACAAUCACACAUACGGUACACGAGGUUUUCACAUGGUUCGGCCAACCAUGCCUACGUCCACGGAUGAGAGAGAAUAAUUCCACUAUACAAUAGAGAAUAUUACAGAGGAUAGAACCAGAUACAACUAUUGGGUUCCCGAAACAUCCCAUCUUUUCCCACUCCUUAUAUCUAUACCUUACUACGAGCCCUCUCGCUCCACCAGGUAUCUCCUAUUCUUCCUCACAUCUCUAUCCACCUCGUAUAGUCUCUAUAGGCCCAUCUCUAUCUCAUGACUUUUUCCCUUCAUGACCUAAAAUAUUUAUAGAGAUAUUUCUAACAACCUUCCUUAUUCUAUAAGGAAGUUUAAUAUUACAAUAAUAUAUCAACCUAGAAAUAUUCUAUAUAAUAUUCUUUACAAAAAAAAGGAAUCUAUACUAAUUAGGAAUUUGAGACACUUCCUAACAAUCUCCACCUUGGACCAAAUUACAUGAAGUUAAUUUUCAAUCUCUCCAUGACACAAACCUUUUUGUAUCAUAUCACCACGAAAGAGCAAUCGACUCCACCUUCAGUGAAAAUUCCUUUUGUUUUCAUCUUGUAUGCUUUGUGAUCUUUUACUCUUCCAGAAAUCUUCAACCCAAGCUCUGAUACCA